AUCACUUCUUGGCCUUUUGGCUAAGAUGAAAUAUACUAUUUUUACCAGUUUAAUGUCUCACACAUCUUCUACUGAGGAGAUUAUAUUAAAUGGAAUUUUGGAGCUGGGAGAUGGAAUAGGAGCUUGCCUCAUCCACUCCACACAUCAACCUAAUAUUCCAGUACCUCCAGGAAUGGUGCACCACCC
Small nuclear RNA from Fukomys damarensis (Damara mole-rat), 186 nucleotides. Its record names the gene U2. It matches the Rfam family "U2 spliceosomal RNA". From Rfam's summary of the family: U2 is a small nuclear RNA (snRNA) component of the spliceosome (involved in pre-mRNA splicing). Complementary binding between U2 snRNA (in an area lying towards the 5' end but 3' to hairpin I) and the branchpoint sequence (BPS) of the intron results the bulging out of an unpaired adenosine, on the BPS, which initiates a nucleophilic attack at the intronic 5' splice site, thus starting the first of two transesterification reactions that mediate splicing. Lineage: Eukaryota; Metazoa; Chordata; Mammalia; Rodentia; Bathyergidae. The record is from Ensembl.